CGACCGGCGCACGGGUGAGUAACACGUAUGCAACCUGCCCUCCGCAGGGGGAUAACCCGGAGAAAUCCGGACUAAUACCGCGUGGUACAUCUGUGGGGCAUCCCACGGGUGUUAAAAGGAAGCGAUUCCGGCGGAGGAUGGGCAUGCGGCGCAUUAGCUAGUUGGCGGGGUAACGGCCCACCAAGGCGACGAUGCGUAGGGGUUCUGAGAGGAAGGUCCCCCACACUGGUACUGAGACACGGACCAGACUCCUACGGGAGGCAGCAG
Molecule: ribosomal RNA, 267 nt
Filed under: uncultured bacterium
Lineage: Bacteria
Description: partial 16S ribosomal RNA
Rfam family: Bacterial small subunit ribosomal RNA
Source: RNAcentral